CAUCGUUUACUGUAGUGUUCUCGGCAUGCUCGCUCCAAAUCUUGUGAGAAACUGCGAGCCCAGUAAGCAACAUCGUGAGAGCUAAUAUAUCGGUAAUGCUUUUCGUGCCUCAGUUGCUUUUCUAAAGCAGGCAUGGUGACAGCUGCAUAAAGUGCAUCAGCUACGGCAUCAAAAUCCCAGGGGUUUACCCUGACUGCACCACUUAGAGAUGGUGAACAACCUAUAAAUUCGG
RNAcentral lists this unclassified non-coding RNA (232 nucleotides) under Hevea brasiliensis (rubber tree). The record is from RNAcentral. Lineage: Eukaryota; Viridiplantae; Streptophyta; Magnoliopsida; Malpighiales; Euphorbiaceae.